Topomyia yanbarensis is the source of this 1777-nucleotide RNA transcript. It is a transcript of the gene named DEAD-box helicase Dbp80-like, with no coding region annotated. The record is from RefSeq and is a predicted model, not a curated record. The transcript has 4 exons. NCBI's taxonomy places the organism in Eukaryota, Metazoa, Arthropoda, Insecta, Diptera, Culicidae.
CCUUUUUCCAUAUAUUGUAGCUUUUGAAUUUUAAUACCCGGUCGAAACGAUGGCAAGUGCUGCCGAUAACUGGGUCAAAAAGGCGGAAGGAGGAUCAGGAAAUUUCUGCACUCGGUUUUGAAUUUUUCUUUUCAAUACAAAUAGGUUAUCGAUCUGAGUAUCCCUAAGGAUAAGGAACCAGAGCCGACGGCUGACAGCCCAAAGAAAGAGAAUGCGGAAAAACCUUCUAGUUCACCGCCAGUAGAACCAGCGAUCAAAUUACUCCGGUAGAAACGGCUGCACUUGCAGUUUUGUUUUCGGUAGCUACAGAAAUUAAGACUUUAGCAGCUCCUGAAGAAAAAAAAGCUGCUAGCGAAAAUGGAGAAACAGCUUCCUCCACGGAAGAUGCAGAGGCAUUCAACCCGGCGGAUGCAAGUUUGCUAAUUAAACUUAUUCGCAAAGGUCUAGUAGAAUCAAAGCUGGAUCUGGGGGUGAAGGAUCCUUCUUCGCCGCUAUACUUGGUUAAAACUUUCGAAGCUUUGCACAUGAAUUCGGAACUGCUUCUAUGCUAUGGGUUUCAACGCUCCUUCCAAGAUUCAGAAGACGGCUCAACCUACUCUGUUGGCCGAUCCACCACAGAACAUAAUCGCCCAGAGUUGGUCGGGAACAAGAAAAACCACUGCCUUCGUGCUGGCAAUGCUCAAUCGAGUCAAUCCGUUGAAAAACUAUCCGCAGGUGAUUUGCCUUUCCCCACGUAUGAACUGGCAAUUCAGAAGGGGAAAGUAGCUGCAAAACGGCAAAGUUUUGUGCGGAAAUCGAACUUGGUUAAACCGUUCGCGGUGAGAAGAUCGUCAAAGGGGCGAAGCUGACUAAUCAUAUCAUCAUCGGAACAGCCGGGCGUUCGACCUUAAGAAGAUUGCCAUUUUUGUAAUGGACGAGGCGGGCGUUAUGAUCGCUGUUCUUUUUAGCAACGUACGAGCGGGAGGUGAUGGGAUUCGUCCAGUACAUCGAAACCAAUCCGAUCAUGAUUCUUCUGGUGCGGGAGCAAGAAUCACUCGAUAACACCAACCACUACUACGUCAAAUGCCGCAACCAGGACGAGAAAUAUCAAGCAAUUUCAAACAUGUACGGUGUGAUUACCGUCGGACAAGCGAUCAUUUUCUGUCAUAUGAUGUAUAGGACAGUUGUAAACUCCAAGUAAACUUAUUUUCGGCAUUGUUAAUCGAUCGAAACAGGCACGCAAAACGGCCGGUUGGUUGACCGGCAGGAUGUCCCAGGAUGGUCAUUCGGUAGCGGUACUGUCCGGUGAUCUAACGGUGGAGCAACGGUUGGAACGAACGUUUUGUCCAGGGGUAAGUUCCACCACUUGAUUCUGGCUACAGCACCAGGUUACGGAGAGAUUCUUUCGUCUUAGGUAUCGACGUCGAACAGGUUACCAUUGUCGUCAACUUCGACCUGCCGAUGGAUUAGCAGGGACGAGCCGAUUGCGAAACGUAUCUACAUCGAAUUAGACGCACCGAACGGAAUCACCAUCAACCUAGUGGGUAGUGAUCGAAGCAUGAUGAUUUGCAGAUCAAUGGAAAAACACUUCCGGAAAAAGAUUCAGUUGCUAGACGCGGAGAACUCGGACGAAAUUUAAAAGAUCGCACCGUAAAAUGUUUUCGACCAGCUACUGGUGAAAGGCGUAGGAGCUUUUUUGGGUCAUACUUGUUUUGAUUCUGAAUUUAUAAUUUUAUUAUAUUUUAAUUUUUUUUUCUUCCUUGACCUGACAUAAGGUAUACAAAUGUAACCAACAGGG